UUGGAGGGCAAGUCUGGUGCCAGCAGCCGCGGUAAUCCCAGCUCCAAUAGCGUAUAUUAAAGUUGUUGCAGUUAAAAAGCUCGUAGUUGAAUUUCGGGGUUCUACCGUUGGUCGGGCUUUGUCUGUACUGGUGUGUAGAAUUUCUACCUUCUGGGGAACCAUCAUGCUAUUAAUUUAGCGUGGUGGGAAACCAGGACCUUUACCUUGAAAAAAUUAGUGUGUUCAAAGCAGGCUUAUGUCUGAAUACAUUAGCGUGGAAUAAUAGAAUAGGACGGUGGUCCUGUUUUGUUGGUUUCUGAAUCACCGUAAUGAUUAAUAGGGAUAGUUGGGGGCAUUAGUAUUCAAUUGUCAGAGGUGAAAUUCUUGGAUUUAUUGAAGACUAACUUCUGCGAAAGCAUUUGCCAAGGAUGUUUUCAUUAAUCAAGAACGAAAGUUAGGGGAUCGAAGACGAUCAGAUACCGUCGUAGUCUUAACCAUAAACUAUGCCGACUAGGGAUCGGAUGAUGUUAAUUUUUUAAUGACUCGUUCGGCGCCUUACGGGAAAC
Molecule: ribosomal RNA, 545 nt
Filed under: uncultured Glomeromycotina
Lineage: Eukaryota; Fungi; Glomeromycota
Description: SSU rRNA
Rfam family: Eukaryotic small subunit ribosomal RNA
Source: RNAcentral